This 430-nucleotide ribosomal RNA is filed under the name uncultured bacterium. RNAcentral's name for it is "bacterial SSU rRNA". It matches the Rfam family "Archaeal small subunit ribosomal RNA", at positions 339 to 776 of the family's 1478-position model. The record is from RNAcentral.
GCGAGAAAACUUUGCAAUGUGCGAAAGCACGACAAGGUUAAUCCGAGUGGUUUCUGCUAAAGAAACCUUUUGUCAGUCCUAGAAACACUAACGAAUAAGGGGUGGGCAAGUUCUGGUGUCAGCCGCCGCGGUAAAACCAGCACCUCAAGUGGUCAGGAUGAUUAUUGGGCCUAAAGCAUCCGUAGCUCGUUUUGUAAGUUUUCGGUUAAAUCCAUACGCUUAACGUAUGGGCUGCCGGGAAUACUGCAUAACUAGGAAGUGGGAGAGGUAGACGGUACUCGGUAGGAAGGGGUAAAAUCCUUUGAUCUAUUGAUGACCACCUGUGGCGAAGGCGGUCUACCAGAACACGUUCGACGGUGAUGGAUGAAAGCUGGGGGAGCAAACCGGAUUAGAUACCCCAGUAGUCCCUGAGCGGGCUGGCAAGGCGCAU